Paramuricea clavata is the source of this 578-nucleotide non-coding RNA. The record is from the annotation of a GenBank genome assembly. Lineage: Eukaryota; Metazoa; Cnidaria; Anthozoa; Malacalcyonacea; Plexauridae.
CGUGAACCAUCGUAAGACGCUCGUAAUGUUUCGUAAUGCCUCGCAAUUAUUCCAUAGUCCUUUAUAAACUCUAAUGUUAAAGUCAGUAAAAUGUGUUUCUGUUAACAUCGAGUUCUGCAGUCCAGAAAAUUUUUAAAUGAUUUCAGACUUUGUUACGUUUUUGUGUUUCUAAAAAUCGUGGAAAUGAAAUUUUCUUAUUCGUGACUCGUGAAAUCGAAAAAUGAUCUUCGUGAUUUCGUGACGAGACCCCCCCCCCCUUGCCCCCUUCCUAGCACUAAUGAUGAUCCCACUAAAUACAUAAAUAAUUCCCAAAUAUCAAGUUUCUAUAUGUCACCUGUCACAGAAGAAUAUGUUUGUCGACUAUCCUCUGGACUGAAUAAAGCUAAAUCAUCAUUAGAAAUCCCAAAUAAAAUGAUUACACUGGUAGCAGCUCCACAUCAGUACCCUUUACAAUUAUUUUCAAUCGAUCAUUUGCUACUGGUAUUGUUCCUGAUGCAUUUAAGGUAUCUAGAAUAACACCAGUUUAUAAGAAUGCAACAAUGACUGAUCCUAGCAAUGACAGACAAAUUGCAAUCCUG